UACGUAGGGUGCAAGCGUUGUCCGGAAUUAUUGGGCGUAAAGAGCUCGUAGGCGGUCUGUUGCGUCGGCUGUGAAAACCCGGGGCUCAACUCCGGGCCUGCAGCCGAUACGGGCAGACUGGAGUACUGCAGGGGAGACUGGAAUUCCUGGUGUAGCGGUGGAAUGCGCAGAUAUCAGGAGGAACACCGGUGGCGAAGGCGGGUCUCUGGGCAGUAACUGACGCUGAGGAGCGAAAGCGUGGGGAGCGAACAGG
RNAcentral lists this ribosomal RNA (253 nucleotides) under uncultured bacterium. Its description in RNAcentral is "partial 16S ribosomal RNA". It matches the Rfam family "Bacterial small subunit ribosomal RNA", at positions 524 to 776 of the family's 1533-position model. The record is from RNAcentral.